GCCGAGUGUAAAUGUCAGUCAUUGAAAGCAUUAGCAAUCUCGUUUUAUCUAUUAGACAUUCUUAGCUCCAUUAUAUCUUCGUCAUUUGUGUACAGAUAUGUAUUUAUAAGUGUUAGCUAGCUACAUCCUCUCAGUUAGCCGACGCCACUGAAUGCUGGGUCAGCUCGAUUUUAGCUCCACACACACACUCUGAUUUUACUAAUUGAACUUUCGGUCGUAUAGUGAAUAUAUGAUUUUUUAUAUAUCUUGAUUGAUUAAAGACGAUACGCAUUUAAUAAAACACAGUUUAAGUAAUGUACUAAAAACAAAUUCUAGCUACGAACGAUCAUCUACUGCAAAACCGACGGCAUGGACACAUUUUAUUGCUAAACACAUACGCAGUACAGCUUGGACUGAGCCUGAAUUCAGAUCGGACGGAUCACGUGCGUUUUCUGCUCAAGCUGCUGGCAUGACAACGUGCUAGAUUUUUAUCAGGAAAACUAAUACCCUAACGCCCAUAUGUCCAACUGUGUGAAUGAAACACUGCGAUGGGGACAGCUGGAGUCGGGCCAGCUGUGAUUACAACACAUGGAUCAGGAUUUUAAAACUGGCUCAUACUGCUGAGAUCAGACGAGAUCAGAACUGGCUACUAGUCCUAGAUAGGCAAGUUUUUAUUGCUACCUCCUGAACACAUAAUAAAUGAUUCUUCUUUCUAGCUUGGUAUAAAUGAUCUCAGUGAACCUUUUUCUAUCAAUGAACUGUAGAAGAUCAAAAGCUGACUGGAGGCUACAGCAUCUGCUCCUUUUCUCUUUCUGUACCACUAUCACACACACUCACACACACACACACACACACACCCCAUGCCACAAAUGGAUCCAUGCCAUCUGACCUGACAAGAGUGAGCAAUAAAGGGAACCCCAGCAGUGUGACCAGCUGACAGGAACCAUUCUCUGGCCAAAGAUCAGUGAGAGAGCAUGGAGGGAGAGGUUAUGCCUACACACAAGAUGCACUGAUGGCAGAAACACAGCAUGCCUGGAGUAACAGGAAGAUAGCAAAGACAAGCAGUACCCAGUGGUUGUUCCGGAUGAAAGACUACCCCAUGGAAAGCCUGCACAUGAAAAAGCAUGAGGAAUGAAAGCAGAGCUAACGCAAUACUCUUCCAAAAGAUUGGAAACUGAACCAGGAACGCGUCAG
Long non-coding RNA from Ictalurus punctatus (channel catfish), 1173 nucleotides. NCBI's taxonomy places the organism in Eukaryota, Metazoa, Chordata, Actinopteri, Siluriformes, Ictaluridae. The record is from Ensembl.